Molecule: long non-coding RNA, 662 nt
Filed under: Nicotiana benthamiana
Lineage: Eukaryota; Viridiplantae; Streptophyta; Magnoliopsida; Solanales; Solanaceae
Description: long non-coding RNA (NBEN_LNC014722)
Source: RNAcentral
CCCCGCCUCUGAAGCUUCGUCUUCUCCGAACCUCCAUCCCCACCAUGGACUGAUUCCCCUCAAUCGUUGGACACCAGCCAAUACCACCAUGCAAAACACACAAUAACCAACUCCUCCAUAGCUAUCGAGUUCCAUCAGCAGCUCAAACAAGAAAUAAACACACACACAUACCAAAACACAUACAUACACAUACCAGCAUCGUCGAAAACCAAAGACAGAAUAUGGUAAUGUUUUUGUUUCUUUUGCUCAAUGUCGAAUUUGAAACUGAAAUGAAGCGGCGCUGAAAAUCAAAUCAGCUUUUUCUAAGUUGUGGUUUCACUUCAAAAAUCAGAAAUAUUGAUAUAUAAAGCUAGUUUUGUAUUCUGGAUCUUUUCCAGCCGUCGUUCAUGUUUCCCGUCGCAGCUCGUUGUUCUGGUUUGAAGAUCUGUUGGAAUCCCUUCAGUUUGGAUCCGUGAGAUCAAAGCAGUGGUUGAUAUGCAUUUGAUGUGAAGCUCUAUUUUUCAGUGUAAAAGAAAGAAUUCUAAGGUUCAUUUCUUUUCUAUUUCUACAAUUAUUUGAAUUGCAGCUCAAGUGUUUGUUGUUUUGUCUCUCUUAGAAAUUUUAGUGUAUUUAGAAUUCUAAGGUUCAUUUCUUUUCUAUUUCUACAAUUAUUUGAAUUGCAG